RNAcentral lists this non-coding RNA (147 nucleotides) under Oreochromis niloticus (Nile tilapia). Its description in RNAcentral is "Eukaryotic large subunit ribosomal RNA". It matches the Rfam family "Eukaryotic large subunit ribosomal RNA", at positions 2832 to 2984 of the family's 3401-position model. Lineage: Eukaryota; Metazoa; Chordata; Actinopteri; Cichliformes; Cichlidae. The record is from Rfam by way of RNAcentral.
GGCCUGUGGCGGCCAAGCGUUCGUAGCGACGUCGCUUUUGAGUCUUCGAUGUUGGCUCUUCCUAACGUUGUGAAGCCAGAUUCACCAAGUGUUCACCCCCUCAUAGCGAACGUGAGCUGGAUUCAGACCGUCGUCCGAUGACGCGUU